Long non-coding RNA from Cebus imitator (Panamanian white-faced capuchin), 1149 nucleotides. The record is from Ensembl. NCBI's taxonomy places the organism in Eukaryota, Metazoa, Chordata, Mammalia, Primates, Cebidae.
AAAGUGCUGGGAUUACAGGCUUGAGCCACCGCGCCCGGCCAAGUUGAUAUAUUAAACGUGUGGAAAAGACUUCAAUUCUGUUUUAACAUAUGAGAAGGAGGGGUGACUGACUUCAUGACUAGCAUUAAGAAAAUAUCACAUGUUGGGAAACUUUCUGCCUUGAUGAUUUUAUAAACACAAGAGAUGAGAAAUGAGGAACAUGCUUAGAUAUACUGGGACUGAGAUGGGACUGUGGCAUUGUCACAAGGGUACACAAAUACUGAGUGACUGAUAGAGGAACGGUCCCCAUCAGUUGUGACCUCAGGUGAGACCAGGAGGUCUGUGUUUUAGCAAACCCUGGGCAAUUGGAAUGAAGUGCUCUCAAGAUUCCAUGACACGCCCAGCUUCUAAUUCUGUUAUUGCAACAGCAGGCCGUUACCUGGGACUCUGGCCAGUAUCUCCCACACUCCCGUCAGAGCCUGAGCUACAGGCAGCACCUUCGGCUCUCAGCUCAAGCAUUUCCAGCCUUGUUUUUGUGGUUAAGGACCCUAAAGUGCUGUGAGGAGGGAUCAAGUUUUUCUGAACAGUAAGUUAGGAAUUUGAGUUAUUGACAUCCCCCAGUCCUGAUUAAACCUAUUUGAUUUCCAGUUUUUAACCGACCAUGUGUUUCGGUUUCUUCUCCCCAGUCUCUGGCUGUACCUGUGGUGACCCCAACGUCAGCAUGGUGGCAUCCGGCAGGACGUGUUCCAGGAAAACCACAGCGGUGAACUUUCCUGAUAUCAUCGAGAAUUCCUACUCCCAGCAGGAAGAGACCAAACCCAAUUUCAGAGACAGCAAAUAUAGACUUCUUAUGAGCCAGGUGGCCUACUUGCGGAACUACCAGCUGAAGACAUACGAAGAUCGAAAAGAUCACGAUGAAGAACAGAUAUACAGAGACAGCAGAAAUAAACUUCUUAUGAGUCAAGUGGCCUACUACCUGGGCUGCCGGCUGAAGACGGAAGUCCCUGGCUUUCUGUGUCGUGCCCAAAAUGCCAACAUGGUGGCAUCUGGCAGGCCUCCUUCCAGAAAAAACACAGAGGUGAACAUUCCAGAAGGCAUUGAGAAAUCCUGCUCCCAACAGGAAGAAAACAAACCGAAUGUCGGAGCCAACAAAAAUAGACUUCUUAUGAG